RNAcentral lists this ribosomal RNA (148 nucleotides) under uncultured ammonia-oxidizing bacterium. RNAcentral describes it as "partial 16S ribosomal RNA". It matches the Rfam family "Bacterial small subunit ribosomal RNA", at positions 380 to 524 of the family's 1533-position model. The record is from RNAcentral.
AGCCUGAUCAGCCUGCCGCGUGAGUGAAGAAGGCCUUCGGGUUGUAAAGCUCUUUCAGCCGAAAAGAAAAGGUUGCGACUAAUACUUGUGACCAUGACGGUAUCGACAGAAAAACACCGGCUAACUACGUGCCAGCAGCCGCGGUAAU